CCUACGGGAGGCAGCAGUGAGGAAUAUUGCACAAUGGGCGAAAGCCUGAUGCAGCAACGCCGCGUGAGCGAUGAAGGCCUUCGGGUCGUAAAGCUCUGUCCUCAAGGAAGAUAAUGACGGUACUUGAGGAGGAAGCCCCGGCUAACUACGUGCCAGCAGCCGCGGUAAUACGUAGGGGGCUCGCGUUAUCCGGAAUUACUGGGCGUAAGGGGUGCGUAGGUGGUUUCUUAAGUCAGAGGUGAAAGGCUACGGCUCAACCGUAGUAAGCCUUUGAAACUGGGGAACUUGAGUGCAGGAGAGGAGAGUGGAAUUCCGAGUGUAGCGGUGAAAUGCGUAGAUAUUAGGAGGAACACCAGUUGCGAAGGCGGCUCUCUGGACUGUAACUGACACUGAGGCACGAAAGCGUGGGGAGCAAACAGGAUUAGAUACCCGGGUAGUC
Molecule: ribosomal RNA, 439 nt
Filed under: uncultured bacterium
Lineage: Bacteria
Description: partial 16S ribosomal RNA
Rfam family: Bacterial small subunit ribosomal RNA
Source: RNAcentral